GCACAAGCGGUGGAGCAUGUGGUUAAUUCGAUGCAACGCGAAGAACCUUACCUGGGCUUGACAUCCCGAGAAUCUCCUGGAAACAGGAGAGUGCCCUUCGGGGAACUCGGUGACAGGUGCUGCAUGGCUGUCGUCAGCUCGUGUCGUGAGAUGUUGGGUUAAGUCCCGCAACGAGCGCAACCCUUGUCUUUAAUUGCCAUCAUUCAGUUGGGCACUUUAAAGAGACUGCCGGUGUCAAACCGGAGGAAGGUGGGGAUGACGUCAAGUCCUCAUGGCCCUUAUGACCAGGGCUACACACGUGCUACAAUGGCCGGUACAAAGAGUUGCGAUACCGCGAGGUGGAGCUAAUCUCAUAAAGCCGGUCUCAGUUCGGAUUGGAGUCUGCAACUCGACUCCAUGAAGUUGGAAUCGCUAGUAAUCGCGGAUCAGCACGCCGCGGUGAAUACGUUCCCGGGCCUU
Molecule: ribosomal RNA, 459 nt
Filed under: uncultured Syntrophus sp.
Lineage: Bacteria; Pseudomonadati; Thermodesulfobacteriota; Syntrophia; Syntrophales; Syntrophaceae
Description: bacterial SSU rRNA
Rfam family: Bacterial small subunit ribosomal RNA
Source: RNAcentral